Molecule: long non-coding RNA, 4594 nt
Filed under: Musa acuminata (dwarf banana)
Lineage: Eukaryota; Viridiplantae; Streptophyta; Magnoliopsida; Zingiberales; Musaceae
Description: long non-coding RNA (MACU_LNC006239)
Source: RNAcentral
AUGGCGGCGCCGACCCCAGCGAAGACGAAGAGAAAGGUGAGGACCACCUCAGCUAGCACGGCGCGGAUGCAGCCGGGCUCGGCCGCCUCGUGGUGGUUCCCGAGCGCGAUCUUGGCCAUGUUUGGGACCCGAGACUAGUAGCCUUUCGGUGAGUUCCUACCUUCUCGUUUCCUUUGCCUCUCAGUGCUGCUGCAUUAUAUAGGCACAGGGGGAGAGAGAGAGAGAGAGAGAGAGAGAGAGAGUACGUAUUAAUGAUCAUUAAUUGCAGUUGCAGUAAGUAAGAAUAGAGCCAGCAGUGUCUGUCCAGUUCGUGAAUGCUGGUUUCGGUUUCAUUUUCUUUUGGGUUUUAAGUCAAAUUAUUUCUUAAUUAAUUAUAAGAGGAUCCUUUAAAAACUAAUAUCAAACACUUAAAUUUUAGAGUUUAAUAUAGAUUAAGUCAUUAUUAACAACUAAAUUAUGAGUUCGGAAAAUGUCUCCAUUCGUUUGUUCAGCAAUAGGAAAGGCAGCUACAAGACAAUAGUGCUUUCCCUAAUACAGAACCAGUAUGGGUGUGCAUUGUCAGCCUCCUCAUCAGUCUCAGCCAAUCCCUGGAGACGACGACUUCCGGUGGAUGUCAUUUUCUGAUAGCAUGAUUGAGUGUGCACACUCUGUAGGUGGUGGACUUCGCCUUUUGGCCUUCUUCGACGCUCAAUCAUGUUCUCCGACACUCAGCGGUGGAGCUUUCUGGUCACGGAGAUGGCGGUCUGCGCUUCACGACAGCGAAGCCAUCAUGUGCGAGAGCAAUCAGUCGCCUUUAAUAAUUCCUCGAUAGAUGACGAAGACAGCUCAAUGGAGAUGUGGCAUCCACGGCUCCCUCAUCUGGUUGACUUCUCGUGGAUCCGCACGCAACGAGGUUUGAAGUACCGCGUGCUCAUGCAAGCUUCGUUUUCUUGGUUUCUCUCCUCCACCGGAUUCAUAUUAUUCUAUUCUUUGGGCUUUUAAUUCAAGAAAACAUUUAAUUUUUAUUUUUAACGUAGACGAAGAUUUAAUAUUCUCUUUAAAUGAGAGAAAGCUUAUGAGCAAAAAAAGGAAAUUGACAUCAUAUAUACAUAUAGGGUCAGUUGUCUUAGAUCUCUACCGCUCGCUCACGUUGACGACUGUGCAAAGGAGCGGAUGGACGGUCCGGAUGAAGAUAAUGGUGUAGGAACAGCUGAGACCGUGAUUCGAGACGCAAUCGGAGUCGGGUAGUAUUUGGAGAGAAUCCCCAAGCACGUGAUGGCCACGUGCAUAACUGGAACGGGGAGCGCAGAGAGAGAAAGAGAGAGAGAGAGAUGGCGGAUGGCGAGGUCUGUUCUCAUGGCCGCUGCCGCCGCCUCCAUCCAAAUCGCUGUCCUCUGCCUGACUCUCUUGUCGUCCCGGUUCUCCCCCAACCCUCCGUUGGGCCUCGGCUCCGCCCCUCAUUGUACGUUUCCUCUCGCCCCCUGGGUUGCUCCCCCGGGUAAGCUAUGUGUCUUAUGUCUUCGUCAACCCUAGCUCUUCAAUUCCACCUUUUUCUUGAUCUAUUGGAGACAUCCGACGUCCUUCCUUUUGGAUAGUAUAUGUCGAUUUUCGCAUCAAGAUUCCUUCGCUAGCGGUGGCUGGCGAUAACUCGAUCAUUCUUUCAAUUCCUUCGCUAAAUGGUGUGUUUUAUUCAACUGAUUAGCUUUGGAUCACGAAAAUAGUCUCUCUACUCACAAGAUCCGCAGAUGGCAAUUUCUUUGAAAUAACACAUAUUUUAAUCAAAUUAGGCAUUUCCAGUUGAUUUCAGCAUUUGAUUGAUUGGUAUUGUGCUUGGUGUCUUUAGGUGCUUUUCGUUGAUAUAUUAUUGACUGCGACCAUUUCUUUCGCUCCAAGAUUGUAUCUUUCUUGCACUAUACUUACUUUGUUCCUUUAUUUAAAUGAUUGUUUCUUUGAAGCAAGUGAUGUUCGAUUAAAUUAUGCAUUCUCAUUUUCUCCUCCCGUCUUCUAAUUUAAUUUUUAUGGAACCUUAAUUAAAUAGGAUUUGUAGGACUAUUGAAGUCAUUGACUGAAAUUUAUAGGAACAAAACUUAUAGGUCAUGCAUGACAGUAGAACUAAUUGUUUAUUAUUCUUCCAGCUUCAAUUUGAUGAGUUACUGAUAUGUUUUUUUAUACUUCUUCUUGUCUAAGUCCAUAAAAUGAUGUGAACAACUCAGUUCUUGUUUCAUACAAUAAUGUAUUGGCUAUACAUCUGGAGCAGUUGUAUGGAACAAGAAAUUCUAGAUUGAUAAGAAGAGCGAUUUUUAUCAAGGCCAGUUGUUCCAGCAACAUGGCACAGGCAAGGACAUUAUCAAGAAAGAAGAGGCUCUAGACUGGGUGAAAUAAGAACAAAACAAUUGAAGAAUGCUUCAUGAUGUUUAUCGUAAAAUGUCCUCUUUAUUUAUGUUUCACCUUUGUUUGAUGAUUUGUUUUGGACACAACACACUAUCACCUCUGAGUUUGUAUAUGUAAUUGGUGUCAAUUCUACAAACUUGAUUAGACGAAUGGUUUCCUUCGAUAAUGUGUUACGUGGAUUUUACGUCUUCAUGAUGUCAGUGAUGCAUUUAUUUUAGAUAUCUUAGCUGAGCUUUGCUGGUUCUUUCUAAAGACUGAUCUAAUUGGUGUUGCCUUUACAAGAUAAUUGCUAUAUUUUUGGAUUUUUUGUUUCUUAUAUUUGAGUAUGUGAAGACUUCUCAAUUUGAGGAACAAAAAGAGGCAAUUUAAAACAGUUUUUUUUGUUCUUGAACAGUUGAUUUUGCAACUUCUAGUUACUGGCCUGAAAAUUGCCUUCUAAGCUACUUUGAUUGGGACAUGAAUACGUGAAAUUUAAGCUUUAUAGUUAUUAGGCAGACCAAGUCAUGUAAUCAGCUUUAUCAAGCUUUUCAUCACAUUGAAUUCAUUUCUUGUUAGAGCAUAACAUUCUGUAGAUGUUCAACACAAACUCUGCUGAAGGCUAGAGAACUAGCACAUCAUGAUGUCCAGGUUGAAUGAAGUCUUAAUAGGAAUUUUCAUGGUUUAGCAGAAUUUUCACUCUAUGAAUCAGUAACAUCAUGCAACACUUCCUCAUUUACCGUGUGCCUGAGAACAGAGGAUCAUUUUAUUUUGCAGGUAUUUGUGGACUAUAUAGAUUUUGCUAAAGAGUUGGAGUCAUCAACCAUCUCAGAUGAACCUUUUGCCCAACUGGUUUUGUAAAACACCUAAAUCACAUCUCAGUUUGUACAUAGGUUGUUUUGCAAACCAUUUUAGUGGAAGCAAGCAACACAAAUUUGAAAUUGCAUUUAUUGGUAUUUAAGGUAAAUAUUAAACCGAUCUUGUCAUUCACAGUUAACCAUUUUUAUUAUACAAGUGCUUGAUUAUUAUUAUUUUUACAUCGCCUUCGCUAUGUUCAUAUUGGCACGGCAAUCUAGCAUUUGUCUGAUGCCUUCAAUCCAGAUUCCCUCAUCACAUUUUUUGCAUUCAAAUUCGAUUAACCUUUCUGGUGUUCUGAUCCCAAAGUAAGCCCUCUGAUCACUUCCAUCUUCCACUUCUCUUCCAGGCCAUGCUGGUAUGUUGGCGCAGACAUCAAUUACAAAACCUGCAAGAACAGGAACACAGCUUUAUCUACGUGCCAUCGGAAUCGCAGUGUGUAAGUUUUCCUACUAAUCUUACAUUUCUUCUUUUUCACAAAGGUCCCAGCCAUGUGUGUACUUUUUGUUUUGACAACCACCUGCAAUUUGUUGCACUUUCUUAGCUAACAAAAAUAUAGAUCAUGAAAAAUCUUUUAGAUUUUAGACAACUUACCUGCCAAUUGGAGUUUAUGUAUACUGAAACUUGCUUCCAAUGAAGAAUACCUGCCACAGAUGGAUAUCUCAACACGCAUUUAUUUAUAUUACUAACUUUUGACAUAAUAAUGUGGUGAUUGCAGAUUCUGCUCUAAAUAAGUGAUCUUGACAAGUUCAGAUCCUUCAUAACUAUUGUGAUUAGUGCAGUGAGGUCAAUAGUUUUGGCUGAUGAAUUCUGUAGUUGAAUUCAAAGUUCUACGAAAGAACUGUAAUUUAUACCUUUUCUUGUGCGUUUGACGAGCUCUCCACCUUUGGCUACAAAGGUGAAGGCUGAUGAGCAUCCAUCUGAUGAUUCUUUGUCGUCCCCAGCUGCUGUUGCACCUUGAAUCUCCUUGUAAAGCCUUGCCCUCAAUGUCGCUGCGCCUCGUAAGGCUGCAGUACAACAUGCCACAUCUUAGAGCUGGACUACAAGCUGUCAUAAGAGCAAUGCAUGGCUGCUCACAUGAACCUACUUCUCUUGCAUUUAGAUGUUAUAUGAUUCUGAUAGCUAGUGUUUUGCCGACUGUGUUCAUUUUUCGGAUGGCUUGAUCUGUUUGUGGAUGAACUUUUUUGUUUGGAGACCUGAAUGCUUUCUUUUGUAUUGAUCUGAGAUGUUCUUAAUGUGUGCAGACUGAGUCAGAUUGAAGCCUCCAUGAAGAACCAAUACCUGUUGCAGCUCCUGCAGUGAGCGCCAUGAUGUCGCCACUGGUCUGUGCACCAACUGCAGAGUGGACGACCUUCAAGAUCUGAUCAUGGGCGGCGCCCAUCGUCUGCGCGAU